This 497-nucleotide ribosomal RNA is filed under the name uncultured bacterium. Its description in RNAcentral is "partial 16S ribosomal RNA". It matches the Rfam family "Bacterial small subunit ribosomal RNA", at positions 28 to 507 of the family's 1533-position model. The record is from RNAcentral.
GAUGAACGCUGGCGGCGUGCCUAAUACAUGCAAGUCGAGCGAACAGACGAGGAGCUUGCUCCUCUGACGUUAGCGGCGGACGGGUGAGUAACACGUGGAUAACCUACCUAUAAGACUGGGAUAACUUCGGGAAACCGGAGCUAAUACCGGAUAAUAUAUUGAACCGCAUGGUUCAAUAGUUAAAGACGGUUUUGCUGUCACUUAUAGAUGGAUCCGCGCCGCAUUAGCUAGUUGGUAAGGUAACGGCUUACCAAGGCAACGAUGCGUAGCCGACCUGAGAGGGUGAUCGGCCACACUGGAACUGAGACACGGUCCAGACUCCUACGGGAGGCAGCAGUAGGGAAUCUUCCGCAAUGGGCGAAAGCUUGACGGAGCAAAGCCGCGUGAGUGAUGAAGGUCUUCGGAUCGUAAAACUCUGUUAUUAGGGAAGAACAAAUGUGUAAGUAACUAUGCACGUCUUGACGGUACCUAAUCAGAAAGCCACGGCUAACUACGUG